This 72-nucleotide transfer RNA is filed under the name Nematalosa japonica. Its description in RNAcentral is "tRNA-Ile". Lineage: Eukaryota; Metazoa; Chordata; Actinopteri; Clupeiformes; Clupeidae. The record is from RNAcentral.
GGAGCCGUGCCUGAACGCUUAAGGGCCACUUUGAUAGAGUGAACCAAGGAGGUUAGACUCCUCCCGACUCCU